AUAUCUCUCCGUACGGGAAGGAUGAGAAGCUUCGACUAAGGUUCGAUUCGAGCGCAGCGAGAAAGCGUUGCCGCAGGCA
RNAcentral lists this small RNA (79 nucleotides) under Salmonella enterica. Its description in RNAcentral is "partial RtT sRNA". It matches the Rfam family "RtT RNA", at positions 1 to 78 of the family's 130-position model. Rfam says of the family: This family represents a bacterial cis-regulatory element known as RtT RNA. Lineage: Bacteria; Pseudomonadati; Pseudomonadota; Gammaproteobacteria; Enterobacterales; Enterobacteriaceae. The record is from RNAcentral.